CCUACGGGAGGCAGCAGUGGGGAAUUGUUCACAAUGGGCGCAAGCCUGAUGACGCAACGCCGCGUGGGGGAUGAAGGUCUUCGGAUCGUAAACCCCUGUCGAAUGGGACGAAAGACUCGCGAGUUAAUACUUUGCGAGAGUGACGGUACCGUUAAAGGAAGCCACGGCUAACUCUGUGCCAGCAGCCGCGGUAAUACAGAGGUGGCAAGCGUUGUUCGGAAUUACUGGGCGUAAAGGGCGCGUAGGCGGCCUUCUAAGUCAGACGUGAAAUCCCCCGGCUUAACCUGGGAACUGCGUCUGAUACUGGGAGGCUUGAGUAUGGGAGAGGGAUGUAGAAUUCCAGGUGUAGCGGUGAAAUGCGUAGAUAUCUGGAGGAAUACCGGUGGCGAAGGCGGCAUCCUGGACCAUAACUGACGCUGAGGCGCGAAAGCUAGGGGAGCAAACGGGAUUAGAUACCCCGGUAGUCCUAGCCCUAAACGAUGAAUACUUGGUGUGGCGGUAUCGAUCCCUGCCGUGCCGAAGCUAACGCAUUAAGUAUUCCGCGUGGGGAGGUACGGUCGCGAGCGUGAACGUACGAAGGAAGUUAGACGGCGUGAGACGUGCCGACGGACGACGACGAGGGAGGAGG
This 628-nucleotide ribosomal RNA is filed under the name uncultured bacterium. Its description in RNAcentral is "bacterial SSU rRNA". The stretch from base 1 to 544 matches the Rfam family "Bacterial small subunit ribosomal RNA", at positions 338 to 873 of the family's 1533-position model. The record is from RNAcentral.